Molecule: ribosomal RNA, 879 nt
Filed under: uncultured bacterium
Lineage: Bacteria
Description: bacterial SSU rRNA
Rfam family: Bacterial small subunit ribosomal RNA
Source: RNAcentral
AGAGUUUGAUCCUGGCUCAGGAUGAACGCUGGCGGCGUGCCUAACACAUGCAAGUCGAGCGAUCUUCUUCGGAAGAGAGCGGCGGACGGGUGAGUAACGCAUGGGUAACCUGCCUCAUACACAUGGAUAACAUACCGAAAGGUAUGCUAAUACAAGAUGAUAUAAGAGAUUCGCAUGGAUUUCUUAUCAAAGCUCCGGCGGUAUGAGAUGGACCCGCGUCUGAUUAGCUAGUUGGUAAGGUAACGGCUUACCAAGGCGACGAUCAGUAGCCGACCUGAGAGGGUGAUCGGCCACAUUGGAACUGAGACACGGUCCAAACUCCUACGGGAGGCAGCAGUGGGGAAUAUUGCACAAUGGGCGAAAGCCUGAUGCAGCAACGCCGCGUGAGCGAUGAAGGCCUUCGGGUCGUAAAGCUCUGUCCUCAAGGAAGAUAAUGACGGUACUUGAGGAGGAAGCCCCGGCUAACUACGUGCCAGCAGCCGCGGUAAUACGUAGGGGGCUAGCGUUAUCCGGAUUUACUGGGCGUAAAGGGUGCGUAGGUGGUUUCUUAAGUCAGGAGUGAAAGGCUACGGCUCAACCGUAGUAAGCUCUUGAAACUGGGAAACUUGAGUGCAGGAGAGGAAAGUGGAAUUCCUAGUGUAGCGGUGAAAUGCGUAGAUAUUAGGAGGAACACCAGUAGCGAAGGCGGCUUUCUGGACUGUAACUGACACUGAGGCACGAAAGCGUGGGGAGCAAACAGGAUUAGAUACCCUGGUAGUCCACGCCGUAAACGAUGAGUACUAGGUGUCGGGGGUUACCCCCCUCGGUGCCGCAGCUAACGCAUUAAGUACUCCGCCUGGGGAGUACGCUCGCAAGAGUGAAACUCAAAGGAAUUGACGG